Long non-coding RNA from Meriones unguiculatus (Mongolian gerbil), 3393 nucleotides. RefSeq lists it as uncharacterized. Lineage: Eukaryota; Metazoa; Chordata; Mammalia; Rodentia; Muridae. The record is from RefSeq and is a predicted model, not a curated record. The transcript has 3 exons.
AGGAUUCUCACUAAUGGUCCCGAAUUGCUUUAUCGCCUAUAGCAUGUUAUUACUGGAAUUGAAGUGAAGAGAGAACUGAACUGCUCGGCCCCAGGCAGGAGAUGAGUCAAAAAGACCAGAGUCAUUGAAUGUUCUCUAAGGUUCCUUCUCAGCUUCUUCAGGACUGCUGUUCCAAACCCAUGAAAAAGAAAGCGCUCAACACUGACUAAGCUCAGUCGCUCUGGGAGCAUCCCUGGUGAUUUCCAAUGCUGUGUGCACUGUUUACAGUACCGAUGAGGAACAGGUAUGUCUAAGCAUCACAUGUGUGCAAUGUCCGUGGAGGCCAGAAGAGGGCAUCAAAUCCCCUGGAACUGGAGUCAGAGAUGGUGAUCUGCUAUCACGUGGGUGCUGGGACUCAAACACUGGUCCUCUGGAAGAGCAGUCGUUACUCUUAAUUGCUGUGCUAUCUUUCCAGCCUCAGUUCUCUUAAUCAGAGAAGUAGAAAAUUUCCCCCUUCUGCCAGCUAGCUUCCAGAAUUUGCUUUAUUCCCAUAAUGAUGAGUACUUUCUCAUUAAGUUAACUUCCUAGAGGACUGCAAUAUUGCCAGUCAUCCAGGCUUUCCGAUGUCUUCAUGCUGUCCUCAAUUGCACAAUUUGGAAUGAAGCAUCUUUAGAUCUGUGGCCAUAGCAAGCCCAAGUGAAUGAACUAGACCAGGAAUCCUAAGCCACAGCUUUGGGGCCAGUUUCUUUGCAGUGACCCAUCCAGUUCCUAUGAAACACUCACCACUGCUAGAGCAUGCACAAGGGGGAGGAAAAAUACUACUGAGUGAAACAGCAACAAAACCCCAAACAAUGAGUGUACCAUGUACCACGUUUUUCUAAUCCUUUUCAGUUUUAUUUCUUAAAAUGUGAUUAUCAGUAGUUUUCCAUAGAUGUAUGACAUUCAAAGAAAAGAAUUCCUGUAUUAUCAUCAGGAUCCAGGAACUAUUAAUUCAACAAAAUCUUUCUUCUUUCUUUAGGCCCUUUGUCUUUGUUACGCGCUUUUUGCUUUUCCCCCUCAUCCUUUUCUAUACUCCUUGUUUUUGCAAACACUAACAGAAAAAAAAAAAAAGACCCUGCUAGAAAUGUUCAUAGAAACUAGGGUGAUUUACAGAUAUCUUGCUUAUAGUGCAUUUGACUCUGAGUCAGGAGAGCUGUCACAUGUCAACUGCACUAAGAAGAAUGGAUAUCAUGGCAUGGUUUUCAAACCAACUGAUCUAGCUUCUAAAGCAGGAGUAUGUACUUUGAAUCAUUCCUAAGCAUAAAUUGUGAAUCAAGACCCUGAGAAUGAGUAAAGGUGUCUCAGCACUUGACCAUGAAAGAUGUUCCCUUUGCAUAGUGAAGUCCUAAUCAGUUACCACUGUGUGUUAGAAUAGGUUGCCGUAAGCUGUGAUAAAUGAGUCCUAAUAUUUCUGUAGCUUCCCACGCAUUUGCUGGGGGUACGCAAGAAGGCGUAAGCACUUUGUGGUGAUAGCAUCAGAACCCAUGCAAGAAGAAAGAAAGGGAACUGCACAUAGGAGAGAUAUCACAGCCAGAUCCGGAAGUGGCAAACACCACAUUCUUGUGUGUACACUCCUGUAGUUUCAUGUCAUUUGUCUCUAAUGCACAGAAGGCUAUGCAGUAGACUUUAGUCAGCCCCAGAGCAGAGGAGGAAGGAAGGAAGGAUGGCAGGAUGGGCCAAACACACUCUGUGCCCUUUCUUUCUGAUGCUGGAAAUAGAAUGCAAGGCUCACAAACUCCAAGCAAGCUCCCAACCCCUGAGCUACACUCCCAGGCCCGUCUUUUCGAUUCAGAUCCUCCUGUAUGUUCUCUGCUUUGUAAGAAUGGAGUUUGGAAUUGUUCUCUUUUGCCUGAAAUCUCCUAGUCAGAGUGUGACAGCAAGGGGUAGGGAAAAUAAGGUGAGAGUCUGGAAGAGGACAAUGACUUUCUCCUCUUGGGCAAGGUGCUCUUUUGGUGCUAUGCCCCAGAGCCCUGGUGAGUACUUGGUUAUAGGCACUAGUUUUUCAAAUGCUACUCUAUGUUGGGGUUCCUUAAAGCUUAUACCUCCCUUCCAACCCCCCAUGUGCAGGUAGGGAAAAAAGAAGAUUGGAAGGGAAAGGGGACGUAGCCCUCUUUACUUCUGUCUGCUGGGUAGGGCUGAAAGAUUUGGGGGGUGGGGGGACAAUACUAAUCUCAGUCAUCAGGAUAUCUGGAAGUCCAGGUAAGCAGCAAGCUGGCAAGUCAGCAAGUGCAGCAAGCAGUCCUCUUCUGCCUCCUCCAAGCUGCUGCGCCUUCAUCCUCUGGUCUAUCAUAUUUAUACCCCUCAAAGUCCUCAGAAUCCAACUAAUUCCAGCUGGCAAAGACCAAGCCCCUUCACUAAGCAAUAAUCAGCUGUGAACAAACUAAAAUCCCACACUUGGGAUUAUAACGAAAACAUGUUUACAUACCAUAACUGAGGUUUUAAGGGAACGGAAACUUCUACUACACUUGGUUGCUUUCCUUUCACCUUUUCUGGCUUCCUGGAACUGCUCUGUCAUGCCUCCUCAGAGGCACAAGCACCAGGCAUCCUCCCUCUGCAAAUGUCUGUCUAAGCCUCAGCUCCGCUGAGCUCUCUUUCUGAGCUCUGAGGGACACGGACGUCUAAGUUUUCUGUGUCCACAGCCCAUGGAUAAUAACUGCUCUCCACAAUUAUCUCAGACUAAAUGACAUAACUCAAGAUCUAUAGAACUCCAAAGUUCAAACCUCUGGAAUGCUGAUAUGAUAUUACAAGUGGAAAAUUCCAUGCAUGACCUCAUUGAUGGAUUGCAGUCAAAACUGCAGAUACACUAAAAAUGCUGUAUAAAGUGACCUUCGGGCGGCACACUGAAUGUAUAGACUAAACAUCAAUGAUUUUUCACAUUUGGAUUUGGGGUACGGCUCCUAAGAUAUUUCAUCAUGGGUAUAUGAACGUUCCAAAUGUAAAGAUAUCUCCAAUCUAUAGCAUUUCUUGCCUCAAGUUUUGGGCAUGGGGGUGUUCAGGCAGCAUCUCCGGAUCGCUGAGGUAGACAUGUGUGCUUGUAAAGCCCCAACACAUACAGGGACAAGUCCCUGUACCAAAGUUCCUUUGUAGAAAACACCUAGUUGGACUUCAGUUUUCCGGAUUGGACCCUGCCAGUGACUGCAACGCUCAGACAAUUGCAGCAUACCGUAAAUGAUGAGGCUUGAGUCUUGAACUUUUGAAGAGUACUCUAGUUACUGGACACUCUGCAAAAACACGCCUCAGUUCAGGAAACUAAUCACUUCGAAGCAAAAGCGUUUUGCUUUCACUUCAGCACAUGAAAUUGAUUUAUUGGGUGAAUAAAAAAAAAUCAACAACCCACUAAGAAGAAUUAGUCAAAGUGCUUACAUUCAUAAAAUA